This 253-nucleotide ribosomal RNA is filed under the name Clostridioides difficile. Its description in RNAcentral is "partial 16S ribosomal RNA". It matches the Rfam family "Bacterial small subunit ribosomal RNA", at positions 1019 to 1273 of the family's 1533-position model. The record is from RNAcentral. Lineage: Bacteria; Bacillati; Bacillota; Clostridia; Peptostreptococcales; Peptostreptococcaceae.
UCGGGGACAUUGGUGACAGGUGGUGCAUGGUUGUCGUCAGCUCGUGUCGUGAGAUGUUGGGUUAAGUCCCGCAACGAGCGCAACCCUUGUCUUUAGUUGCCAUCAUUAAGUUGGGCACUCUAGAGGGACUGCCAGGGAUAACCUGGAGGAAGGUGGGGAUGACGUCAAAUCAUCAUGCCCCUUAUGCUUAGGGCUACACACGUGCUACAAUGGGUAGUACAGAGGGUUGCCAAGCCGUAAGGUGGAGCUAAUC